This is a long non-coding RNA of Nicotiana tabacum (common tobacco), 1074 nucleotides long. RefSeq lists it as uncharacterized. NCBI's taxonomy places the organism in Eukaryota, Viridiplantae, Streptophyta, Magnoliopsida, Solanales, Solanaceae. The record is from RefSeq and is a predicted model, not a curated record.
CGCAAUCAUUAAAAAAAAAGUGCCCAAUGUUUCCCUCGUUUUUUAAUCGUUUUCCUCUCUUUUUCCCCCAAACCCCUUUCUCAUUUUCACUUUUUUCAUUUCCAGAAACCCACUCUCAGUGAAUCACUUAAUCAAAAAUAGCCGAACAAAACUUAAUCUCUUCCAUUUCUUCUUCAUUUCCUCCGAUUUCAAGCUCUCUGCUUUUCUUCAGUGCCUCAUCUUUCUUCAGCGCCUCCUCUGUUGCAAAAUAAAAGAGAUAUGAAAGAAAACUUCAGAUCUAUCAAUCAAUUGGAUGUUCUGGGCAUUUCAGUUCAGGAUAAGUUUGUGAAGGUCAUUUAAUUGUUCGUUCGUGGUCUGGAAAAAAUUGAACUAGCAUUGACCCAAAGCACUGUGGAUGAGUCUGAAAUUUCGCCAAAUGAUGCUGUUGGUAAGGUGUUGGGAAAAGAGCACUCUGCAAGGGUAAGGUGCUUAGGAUUAGGAGUUGUUCCUAGCAGAGCUUUUAGACAAACAAAACCUCGCUAUAGUGAUUUGAAUGCUUCAAGUUAUAAUAAUGGUUCAUGUUCUUCCCAAUGCCAAGAGAAGUACAAUCAAAUGUUGAACGCUCACAAUCAAAGCCAGGAGAACUACAGAGAGAAAUGAUGAAUGUUAACACUCAAAUGAUGAAUGCUAACACUCAAAUAAUGAAUGCUUUUAAGGCGUAUAUGAUAAUGAAAGAAGGGAAGAUACCUGAAGAAUUUGCAGGGAUAUUUGUUUCUCCUCCUCAUUCAAUGCCAAGUGAUGCGGCUAGCGGAUCCAUUUUACCCACGGAUAUAAGAAGAUCAUUCGGUGAAAGUAAUCCUAACGACAACCAUUGAAGUUGCUUGCAAAUGUAUUAGAUAAUUAAGUAUCGUACUCGAUUGAAUGAUCAUAGUAGAUCUUUUGUCCAUAAUGGUUGGAGUGGAUGUUAUGUUUAAUGUUAGUUUUAAGACUUAUAAUAUUGAUGUUUUGUGUUUAAUGGUUGGAGUUGUUAUGUUUAAAGCAAAUUUUUGAGACUAAUGUAUUGUGGUUUAUUAAUAUAUUGAUGUUACUUGAUUC